AUUGAACGCUGGCGGCAGGCUUAACACAUGCAAGUCGAGCGGGGUGAUGGUGCUUGCACUAUCACUUAGCGGCGGACGGGUGAGUAAUGCUUAGGAAUCUGCCUAUUAGUGGGGGACAGCAUCUCGCAAGGGAUGCUAAUACCGCAUACGUCCUACGGGAGAAAGCAGGGGAUCACUUGUGACCUUGCGCUACUAGAUGAGCCUAAGUCGGAUUAGCUAGUUGGUGGGAUAAAGGCCUACCAAGGCGACGAUCUGUAGCGGGUCUGAGCGGAUGAUCCGCCACACUGGGACUGAGACACGGCCCAGACUCCUACGGGAGGCAGCAGUGGGGAAUAUUGGACAAGGGGGGGAACCCUGAUCCAGCCAUGCCGCGUGUGUGAAGAAGGCCUUAUGGUUGUAAAGCACUUUAAGCGAGGAGGAGGCUACUCUAGUUAAUACCUAGGGAUAGUGGACGUUACUCGCAGAAUAAGCACCGGCUAACUCUGUGCCAGCCGCCGCCGUAA
Molecule: ribosomal RNA, 503 nt
Filed under: uncultured bacterium
Lineage: Bacteria
Description: partial 16S ribosomal RNA
Rfam family: Bacterial small subunit ribosomal RNA
Source: RNAcentral